RNAcentral lists this transfer RNA (76 nucleotides) under Stenotrophomonas maltophilia. Its description in RNAcentral is "tRNA-Phe". It matches the Rfam family "tRNA". Rfam says of the family: Transfer RNA (tRNA) molecules are approximately 80 nucleotides in length. The record is from RNAcentral. Lineage: Bacteria; Pseudomonadati; Pseudomonadota; Gammaproteobacteria; Lysobacterales; Lysobacteraceae.
GGCCGAGUAGCUCAGUUGGUAGAGCAGGGGAUUGAAAAUCCCCGUGUCGGCGGUUCGAUUCCGUCAUCGGCCACCA